UGGCGCUCUCGGGAUAGGCCUGGGAGCACGCCUCUUUGAGUGUCGAUUCAAUCAAACUCAGCGACCUGCUCUUUAUUGGUGCGGGAUGCAGCUGAACAUUGAGUGUCUCACGAAAGUGUGUCACUUUAAGCGGAGCGAGUCUCCUUUCUUCUAGCACUUGCUAAGCUUCGGCUCGGCAUAGCCUAGGAUGAGUUUUGCCCUGCAAACUUGUGCCUGCUAGUGAUGCGGAUAAUCACAUCUGUGUGUUCCAUCAUGACUGGUAGGAGCGAGCUUCUAAGCAAACGGCUUUAGUGUCCGGCUCUUUCUUGUGCGAACCUGCAAGACGACUGUGAAGACAGAUCGGGGUCCAGCAGCAAUGCUCGGACUUCAACAACCUUUUGACUUAGACCUCAAAUGAAGCGAGACAACCCGCUGAACUUAAGCAUAUCAUUAAGCGGAGGAAAAGAAACUAACAAGGAUGCCCUUAGUAACGGCGAGUGAAGCGGGCAAAGCUCAAACUGAAAAUCGGGUCUCCACGCGGGGAUUCGAAUUGUAGUCUAUAGACGCAGCGUCAGUAGUGACCCAGGUAUAAAUCUUUUGAAACAAGGUAUCAUAGAGGGUGAGAAUCCC
This 609-nucleotide ribosomal RNA is filed under the name Eocercomonas minuscula. RNAcentral describes it as "eukaryotic LSU rRNA". The stretch from base 385 to 609 matches the Rfam family "Eukaryotic large subunit ribosomal RNA", at positions 1 to 222 of the family's 3401-position model. The record is from RNAcentral. Lineage: Eukaryota; Cercozoa; Cercomonadida; Cercomonadidae.